Molecule: ribosomal RNA, 433 nt
Filed under: uncultured bacterium
Lineage: Bacteria
Description: partial 16S ribosomal RNA
Rfam family: Bacterial small subunit ribosomal RNA
Source: RNAcentral
AACGAACGCUGGCGGCAUGCCUAACACAUGCAAGUCGAACGAGACCUUCGGGUCUAGUGGCGCACGGGUGCGUAACGCGUGGGAACCUGCCCUUAGGUUCGGAAUAACUCCCCGAAAGGGGUGCUAAUACCGGAUAAUGUCUUCGGACCAAAGAUUUAUCGCCUUUGGAUGGGCCCGCGUUGGAUUAGCUAGUUGGUAGGGUAAAAGCCUACCAAGGCGACGAUCCAUAGCUGGUCUGAGAGGAUGAUCAGCCACACUGGGACUGAGACACGGCCCAGACUCCUACGGGAGGGAGGAGGGGGGAAUAUUGGAACAUUGGCCGAAGGCUGAUCCAGCCAUGCCGCGUUAGUUAUGAAGGCCUUAAGGUUGUAAAGCUGUUUUACCCGGGAUGAUAAUGACAGUACCGGGAGAAUAAGCUCCGGCUAACUCCGUG